Molecule: non-coding RNA, 28 nt
Filed under: Rattus norvegicus (Norway rat)
Lineage: Eukaryota; Metazoa; Chordata; Mammalia; Rodentia; Muridae
Source: RNAcentral
UUAAUUACUCUUCUCUGUGCUCUGACAA